GACGAACGCUGGCGGCGUGCUUAACACAUGCAAGUCGAGCGGUAAGGCCCUUUCGGGGGUACACGAGCGGCGAACGGGUGAGUAACACGUGGGUGACCUGCCCUCAGCUCUGGGAUAAGCCUGGGAAACUGGGUCUAAUACCGGAUAUGACUCCAUGACGCAUGUUGUGGGGUGGAAAGCCUUGUGCGGCUGAGGAUGGGCCCGCGGCCUAUCAGCUUGUUGGUGGGGUGAUGGCCUACCAAGGCGACGACGGUAGCCGGCCUGAGAGGGCGACCGGCCACACUGGGACUGAGACACGGCCCAGACUCCUACGGGAGGCAGCAGUGGGGAAUCUUGCGCAAUGGGCGAAAGCCUGACGCAGCGACGCCGCGUGAGGGAUGACGGCCUGG
RNAcentral lists this ribosomal RNA (389 nucleotides) under uncultured bacterium. RNAcentral's name for it is "bacterial SSU rRNA". It matches the Rfam family "Bacterial small subunit ribosomal RNA", at positions 28 to 419 of the family's 1533-position model. The record is from RNAcentral.